Molecule: ribosomal RNA, 772 nt
Filed under: uncultured bacterium
Lineage: Bacteria
Description: bacterial SSU rRNA
Rfam family: Bacterial small subunit ribosomal RNA
Source: RNAcentral
UGGCGGACGGGUGAGUAAUGCAUAGGAAUCUGCCCGAUAGUGGGGGAUAACCUGGGGAAACCCAGGCUAAUACCGCAUACGUCCUACGGGAGAAAGGGGGCUCCGGCUCCCGCUAUCGGAUGAGCCUAUGUCGGAUUAGCUGGUUGGUGAGGUAAAGGCUCACCAAGGCGACGAUCCGUAGCUGGUCUGAGAGGAUGAUCAGCCACAUCGGGACUGAGACACGGCCCGAACUCCUACGGGAGGCAGCAGUGGGGAAUAUUGGACAAUGGGGGCAACCCUGAUCCAGCCAUGCCGCGUGUGUGAAGAAGGCCCUCGGGUUGUAAAGCACUUUCAGUGAGGAAGAACGCCUGGUGGUUAAUACCCAUCAGGAAAGACAUCACUCACAGAAGAAGCACCGGCUAACUCCGUGCCAGCAGCCGCGGCAAUACGGAGGGUGCGAGCGUUAAUCGGAAUUACUGGGCGUAAAGCGCGCGUAGGUGGCUUGAUAAGCCGGUUGUGAAAGCCCCGGGCUCAACCUGGGAACGGCAUCCGGAACUGUCAAGCUAGAGUGCAGGAGAGGAAGGUAGAAUUCCCGGUGUAGCGGUGAAAUGCGUAGAGAUCGGGAGGAAUACCAGUGGCGAAGGCGGCCUUCUGGACUGACACUGACACUGAGGUGCGAAAGCGUGGGUAGCAAACAGGAUUAGAUACCCUGGUAGUCCACGCCGUAAACGAUGUCGACCAGCCGUUGGGUGCCUAGCGCACUUUGUGGCGAAGUUAACGCGAUAAGUCGACC